ACCCACCCAUUAGUUUUUAGUUUCUCUACUCGAACACAUUCAUCAGAUUAAUUUCUAUGUCUUCAUUCGAAUUCCUUCAGAGAAAAGAAAAAAAAAAUGAAACCCUAGAUUUUAGUUUCAAUCUCUUCUCUCGUGGUCAUAUUUGAUUUGGAGAGUUUAAUUUCCAUCUCAGUUUUCUUUAUCUUAAUAAACAAAAUCUUCAUCUCGAUUUCUUAUCCGAUUCUCACUAACUCAGAUAUGAUUAUUUCUUCAUCUCAGUCUUCUUCAUUAAAUUUCUUCAUCUGAUUAUACUUUAACUAAACAAUCAGGUUUGUUUGGAAAGAUUUACUCACUGAUCGAAUUUCUCUCACUUCAGAAGAGAAUCACAAAUUCGAUGCAUUAGAAGCAAGGAUUUCGACGCUUGAAUCUCUUAAAUUUCAGAAAAAGGAAUCAGCUCAGACAUUCGAUGGCACGGAAGAUUACAAUCCCAUGCUCUACUCUUCUGAGCUGCUAUUUUGCAUAUUCGUCGUAAGGAAACAGACUUGCAGGUCUUUAGAAACCUACAUUGUGGCUAAAAUUUAUAAAGCCCCAGAAAAGACUAAACCAUGUCUGCUCGCUGGGAGGAACUUUUAGUAUUGGAUACUUUGACAAUGCUUCUCCCUGAGAUGAAGUUGGAAAAUAUAAUAGUGCUGGCGAAGAUUACAAAAGGGCAUUGAAGUGCCUUAUGAUGGAUUGAAUUUUGAUCACCAGGUAUUUUAAAGUAUGAUAUUAUGCAAGAAUGUUGUUUAUUUGUCAUCAUCUUCACAAGCAUUGUGAGUUUUUGUUUGUUGUGUAACACCAGAGUUAACUUGAAUAGAAUUUGAUUCAUUUGUAUCUUGUAUUUAAAUAGACUUAUCCAGACAUUAAGAUAUGUACGUUAUAGAAUGUUGCGUUACUAAUUUCAUUAAAAGAUUUAUGUUUUCCCCA
Molecule: long non-coding RNA, 945 nt
Organism: Papaver somniferum (opium poppy)
Lineage: Eukaryota; Viridiplantae; Streptophyta; Magnoliopsida; Ranunculales; Papaveraceae
Exons: 4
Source: RefSeq, a predicted model, not a curated record